Non-coding RNA from Spinacia oleracea (spinach), 180 nucleotides. NCBI's taxonomy places the organism in Eukaryota, Viridiplantae, Streptophyta, Magnoliopsida, Caryophyllales, Amaranthaceae. The record is from Rfam.
AGGUAUAGUCGGUGCAGCCAAGGAUGACUUGCCGGCCGGCCGCCGUCCGUGCUAGGGUUAGUUUCCUUGAUGACAUUUCUUCAUACAUCAAAUAAUGAAAAUUAUGAAGAUCGAGAAAGUUGAGACUUUAGAGAUCUACUAGUUGCCGGCAAGUUGUCUUUGGCUACAUUACUUACCUUG